Molecule: long non-coding RNA, 402 nt
Organism: Cyprinus carpio (common carp)
Lineage: Eukaryota; Metazoa; Chordata; Actinopteri; Cypriniformes; Cyprinidae
Exons: 4
Source: RefSeq, a predicted model, not a curated record
GUAACUUUGUAACGUUGCCAGUUGGUAACUACGACGUCGUGGCAACCUUGUGGAUCUAUAGUCGUGUGUUGGUUUCUAAUCAUGUAAAUGAACAAAGAAGGUUUUCUUCAGAAGCUUGAACACCGAACCAUUUACUCCUCCACAUCUACUCCUCCGUCCACUCCUCUACAUGUCCCUAAAACAAGAAAAAUGAAAUGAAAGAAAGAAAGGACCAGCUUUCCAUUUCAUGACGGCAUCUGGAAUUAAACAGAGGUCACAGCCGUUACAGUAUGCUGUAGUGGCUCCAUACAUUGUUAUUGGCUACUGCGCGCAUUACCCUCCUUACAAACUCCCCUGGACUGGCCCCACUAAUAAGGCUGAGAUGGUGUGUCUGGAAGAAAACACCAUUUGUUGGCAUGCAGG